AGAGUUUGAUCCUGGCUCAGGAUGAACGCUAGCUACAGGCUUAACACAUGCAAGUCGAGGGGCAGCGGUAUCGAAAGCUUGCUUUCGGUAGCCGGCGACCGGCGCACGGGUGAGUAACGCGUAUCGAACCUGCCUCAUACUCGGGAAUAGCCUUGCGAAAGUAAGAUUAAUGCCCGGUGUUUUCAGAGUCCCGCAUGAGGCUUUGAACAAAGAUUUAUCGGUAUGAGAUGGCGAUGCGUCCCAUUAGCUUGUUGGCGGGGUAACGGCCCACCAAGGCAUCGAUGGGUAGGGGUUCUGAGAGGAAGGUCCCCCACAUUGGAACUGAGACACGGUCCAAACUCCUACGGGAGGCAGCAGUGAGGAAUAUUGGUCAAUGGGCGGAAGCCUGAACCAGCCAAGUAGCGUGCAGGAAGACGGCCCUCCGGGUUGUAAACUGCUUUUAGUUGGGAAUAAAACGGGGCUCGUGAGCCCCCUUGCAUGUACCAUCAGAAAAAGGACCGGCUAAUUCCGUGCCAGCAGCCGCGGUAAUACGGAAGGUCCGGGCGUUAUCCGGAUUUAUUGGGUUUAAAGGGAGCGCAGGCGGACCUUUAAGUCAGCUGUGAAAUACGGCGGCUCAACCGUCGAACUGCAGUUGAUACUGGAGGUCUUGAGUGCACACAGGGAUGCUGGAAUUCAUGGUGUAGCGGUGAAAUGCUCAGAUAUCAUGAAGAACUCCGAUCGCGAAGGCAGGCAUCCGGGGUGCAACUGACGCUGAGGCUCGAAAGUGCGGGUAUCAAACAGGAUUAGAUACCCUGUAGUCCGCACAGUAACGAUGAUACUCGCGGUUUGCGAUACAUGUAAGCGCAAGCGAAAGCGUUAGUAUCACUGGGAGUACGCGGCACGUGAACUCAAGAAUGACGGGGCCCGCACAGCGGAGAACAUGUGGUUAAUCGAUGAUACGCGAGAACUUACUCGGGCUGAACUGCCAGCGACGAUGCGAGACGCAUCUUUCUUCGACGCUGCGAGUGCUGCAUGGUGUCGUCAGCCUCUGCGUGAGGGUUCGCUAAAUGCCUACCGAGGCCAACCUCAUCCCUGUGCAUCAGGUGAUGCUGGGCACUCCGGGGACACUGCCAUCGUAAGAUGUGAGGAAGGUGGGGAUGACGUCAAAUCAGCACGGCCCUUACGUCCGGGGCUACACACGUGUUACAAUGGGCGGUACAGAGGGCAGCCACUGCGCGAGCAGGAGCCAAUCCUCAAAGCCGUUCUCAGUUCGGACUGGAGUCUGCAACCCGACUCCACGAAGCUGGAUUCGCUAGUAAUCGCGCAUCAGCCAUGGCGCGGUGAAUACGUUCCCGGGCCUUGCACACACCGCCCGUC
This 1356-nucleotide ribosomal RNA is filed under the name uncultured bacterium. RNAcentral's name for it is "bacterial SSU rRNA". It matches the Rfam family "Bacterial small subunit ribosomal RNA". The record is from RNAcentral.